AUGCUCUUGCACAUUCUCAUUAAUAUUCAUAUAUUCGUGACGAAACUGUAUGUGCAUUUUAUUACCUCCCAUCUGCUUGUAAGUCAGUUCCUUGCCGCCAUCCUAAGUGAACGCAUCGUAUUUCUACAUCGUCGAUAAUUAGCAUCGUUCCUAACAGAAGACAAUGAUGAAGGUUAACAACAUCAUCAUGCUUGCGGCGUUUAUCGCUAUUUUUGCUAUCAUUUUGGUAAACGUAGAAG
Anneissia japonica is the source of this 239-nucleotide long non-coding RNA. RefSeq lists it as uncharacterized. The record is from RefSeq and is a predicted model, not a curated record. Lineage: Eukaryota; Metazoa; Echinodermata; Crinoidea; Comatulida; Comatulidae. The transcript has 2 exons.